Rhincodon typus (whale shark) is the source of this 4202-nucleotide long non-coding RNA. RefSeq lists it as uncharacterized. The record is from RefSeq and is a predicted model, not a curated record. NCBI's taxonomy places the organism in Eukaryota, Metazoa, Chordata, Chondrichthyes, Orectolobiformes, Rhincodontidae. The transcript is spliced from 3 exons.
UUGGAUGAUGUCCUUUAUAGCCAGUAAUAAUAACAUGCUUCUGUAAUUAAAUGAAUAACUCAAUGCUGCCACAUUUCUCAUUUGGCAAGAAGUUGAAGUUUUUUUGGCACCUUCCUUUGAACUUUGGACAAUAGCUGAGAUGGUUCCCAGAUACACAGUAUGUGUCUUUAUUAUACCUUCUCUGACAAAACGGAAUAUUUAGUUACGGCAUUUGCCUAAAUAUGGAACAGUCAGUCUCUUGUUGCUUUGCAUUAAAAUAUAUUCCAGUUGAUACAGUAAAAUGGUACAAGUAUAAUGGAAAUACUUCAUCAAAACUUGACAAAAAUUUGAGGUGUGAUAUGGAGAGUGAAAUGUUCCUAAUUGUGGCUGCCUACUUACGUUUAAGUUUGAACUGUUGAGGUAAACUAAGCAAUUGAUAGUUGUUCGUCUGCACCCACGCUGCACCCUAUUGUAUUAGUGCUCAAUGACCUUCAGUAAACUUGAUUUGACCCUCAGUCAGGUGUAUAGCAGAUUGAUUCAGUUGAUCAGAAGGCAUUGCACAUAAACAACUCUUAAAAUGAUUUUGCUCCGCACUGCUUCAUAAUGCAUGAAACAGGCUGUCUUCAAUUUCAGAGGGAGUUAGGUUAUUAUUUCAUUGAAAAAACCUGUAUAAGUUUUGUAAGUAGAACUAUUUUUCAAACUUUGAGACCAAUGGGCAGUGGAAAUACUCCUAAAAUGUGAUUAACUUUUAAACAUCUACAUUCAUGUGCUUGUGUGAAAUGGUUGGUAUGUAGUAAUCAAAAACAUUUUGGUAUUCACAAGAAAAAAUGUUUGAAUUCUUUGUGAUUCAUUUAAGCUGUAAAGGGGCUUGUGGCCAAUAGCUCUGGAACAAUUAAAGUUAACCAUUCCAGAGUACCCACCUUUUGAAUGCAAUGAUUAAAACACAAGCUCAUACCUAUUUUUCCAGUGAUGUGAUCUCAAGCUUUAAGAAUUUUGGUAAAGGUGCAGAAUGUUCACUAGGUGCACUUCUGUAAUGAAUAUGUUUUGUUCCCCUUUAGUUAGUUAAUGAUAUUACCGGAGGCAUUUUGAGCUGCUAUUCAGCUACAGACGUGAAAGCAAUAUAUACAAUGCUUUAGCUGACCCUCAGGAAGUUCUGAUGUGGAGGUGCUGAUGUUGGACUGGGGUGGACAAGAUCCGAAGUUACACAACACCGGGUUAUAGUCCAACAACAGGUUUAUUUGAAAUUGCAAGCUUUUGGACCGUAGCUCCUUUGUCAGAUGGAGUCAAAGGAGCUGCGCUCUGAAAGCUGGUGAUUUCAAAUAAACCUGUUUGACUGUAGCCUAGAGUCGUGGACCUUCAGGAAGUUCCAAAGUGUUUCACACCCAAUAAAGUACUUUUGGGUGAUAGUUACUGGUCUAAACUAGAAAUAUGCAUCAUGCGUUUUUUGAGAAAUUCUUGAACACUGAAGAUUGCCUCCUCCCAAAUGAAAGUAGCUAAUACAUAUGUAUUCAAAGGGGUACCGUUAGAGUUUUCAUUUAAUGUGAAGUGCAACAAUAACUGUUGUUUUUCACUUGCUUGGAUUUUAAUAAAAUCUCUUCCUUUAUGGUCAAUACUGUUUACUAAUAUACUGUUGGUCUUGAGCCACAGGUGAUGUUUUAUGCAAAGUGUGACAAUCCUCAUUUCAAAAAUUUGGCACAGGUUAUUUAAAUACACAUUAGUUAUUACCGUUUCAUAUGAGCAGCAUUCGUUUCUUAGAGUAGGUUUAUGUUCAAAACGGAAAUGUUAUUUCACUCUCUAUAAACCUUACAGGUUCUGUGACUGUCAUAUGAAAAUUUUAACACUAGAAUGUAUGUCUUGCCAUCAGUUCUUGUUUGAGUCGAUCACCUGCCAUGCCUGGAAUCAGGAUUGAACACAGAUAGCACUUAGCCCCAAAAACUGUGAAGUCCCCACUUAUACGAAACAUGGAAGCCAAUGGGUUGAGAAUCAGGAACUGAAGGAUCAUAAAAGUCAAAUAACAGAUCUGGAGAUCCUUCAACUUAUGGGAACAACCAGCACCUCCUGGAGAACUCAACCGACUGAACCGAUGGGGCCAAACUGCCGAUGCUGGAACAGUGACCGCAAGCCCAGAGAGAUCACACAUUAUCGGCUUCUCAAAGGCCUGACCUACCUGACUCCAUGGAUACCCUCAAGGCAGCAACUAGUGCUCAGGACCCCAGCAGACGCACCCAUGCACCUUCUGGAACAGCAGACCUCCCUCACCAACUCAAGGGACAGAAAUCGAGGAAACGUGGGAGGCUUACUGGCCUGCAGGUGAGAGCAAAAGAACGUGGUUUCAAGUCCCCCUCCCUCCCCACCAUAUUCCUGGAAAAUAUCCAAGGUAUUGAAAACAAACUGGAUGAACUUAUAUCCAGACUUACAGUUCAAAGGGAAUUGAGAUGCUGCUGUGUGCUCUGUUUUACAGAGACAUGGCUCACUCGUGCUACGCCUAAUUGUACCUUACAACCUGAGGGUUUCUCAGUUCACUGGAUGGACCGCUCAACGGCCUUGGGCAAGGGAACGGGUGGUGGGGUCUGCCUCCUAAUCAACAACUCUUGGUGCUGAGGUGUGGUGAACCUGGUGAGUUACUGCUUUCUGCACCUUGAAUAUCUAAUGGUGAAGUGUUGUCCUCCCUACCUGCCACAGGAGUUCACCUCUGCUAUUAUAACAACAGUUUACAUUCCACCUGAUGCAGAAGUGAAGAAUGCACUUCAUGAAAUAUGCAUCACUACAAAUAGCCUUGAGAUGGAAUACCCCAAGGCCUUGAUCAUUGUUGCCGGUGACUUCAAACAGGCCAGUCUCUCGAGUGCUUCCCAAAUACCAUCAACACAUCACCUGUCCCACCAGAGAUCUAGACGUCCUUGACCAUUGCUACACAACCAUCAAAGACAUCCAUCCCCCGCCAACACUUUGGAAUAUCAGACCGUAAUGCUGUGCUCCUUCUCCCGGCUUGCAAGUAGAAACUGAAGUGUGAGGACCUGGUUCAGAAAGUCGUACAGUGCUGGUGUGAGGUAACGGACGAGCUGCUAUCUGACUAUUUAGAGUCAAUGGCCUGGUCCAUAUUCAAGAACUCAGCAGCCAACCUAAAUGAGUACGCCACUACCAUUACAGACUUUGUGAGUAAGUAUGUAGAAGACUGCAUGCCAAAGAAGUUAUUCCGAGUGUUUCCCAACUGGAAACCAUGCAUGAACUGGGAGAUCUGCUCCCAACUAAAGUCCAGUUUUGAGGUGUUCAAUUCGAGUGGCCCAGACCUAUAAAAGAAAUCCAGGUGUGACCAUGCAAAGCCAUCAGAGAUGCCAACUGACAAUAUCAGACUGAGCUAGAGUUCCAGACUAACCACGUGACCACUCAUCGUUUGUGGUAAGGCGGACACGACAUAAUGGGCUACAAAGCAAAGUUGAUUAGAAUCACUGGCAACAAUAAAUCCCUUCCCGAUGAGCUCGGUGCAUUCUAUGCUCGUUUUGAACAGAAGGUCAGUGAAACGAUGUCACUUGCCCUGGGUGCAUUCGUACCUACAGUCACUGCCGCAGACACCAGAUUGACGUUCUUGAGAGUGAACCCAUGGAAAGUAACUGGGCCUGCUGGAGUCCCUGGCUGUGCGGACCAUGUGGCAGGAGUAUUUGCAGACAUCUUUAACCUUUCCCACCUGCUUCAAGAAGACCACUAUUGUCCCUUUUCUACUUUUCUACUUUCUCUACCUUGUGACAACGUUGCCCAUAAAUGCAGCCUUCUUUGCUUGCAUUCAGUUUAGUAUACAUUUAGCACAUCUUUUCAGAACUUGUAUGAGAAAUCCCAUUCUUCCACAUUAUUAAAAGCUCAUGACUUUAAAAAAGUAAAAGUUUUUUUCCAUUUCUGUACAGCAGCUACCGCUUAACCUGCUCACGGCAAUCAUUCUUUCAGCAGCACAGUCCGACUGAUUGAAGAGAUCCGCAGUUACUGUCCUAUUCACUCAGGCUCCAGAUGCUGCUUUCCUUGCUACAGUAUUAUUAACUCAUAUUUUGGCUAUUUGCUGCCCAAAAACUGUGAAAACCUAAAAAUGCAAAUCUAACAAAUGGGAGAAGAAGUCAGAUAUACUGUUUAUAGUUAGAGCCCUUGUCUAUUUUGCUAGUUAUAUUUAUGACAAUGGGUCUGUCUUUGGCUUGACCAAAAGCCAGUCUCUGAUGAUUCAAUAAACUACCUGUCACACA